UGUGCUAAGGUAGCAUAAUAAUUUGUCUCUUAAUUAGAGACUGGAAUGAAUGGAAUCACGAGAGUCAAGCUGUCUCUUUUCUAUAAAUAAAAAUUAAUCUUUAGGUGAAAAAGCCUAAAUACUAUAAAAAGACAAAAAGACCCUAUUGAGUUUUAUUACAUAAGCUUUAACCUAUAAUAAAAUAAAUUUCUUAAGUCAAAAGUAAUUUAGUUGGGGCGACUGAGGAAAAGAAUAAAUCUUCCUUAAAGUUUAAGGAUAUAAUCCUAUUCAAUGAUCCGCAGAAGCGAUUAAAAGAAAUAACUACCAUAGGGAUAACAGGCUAAUUUCCUUCAAGAGCCCAUAUUGACAAGGAAGU
Molecule: ribosomal RNA, 355 nt
Filed under: Poecilochaetus sp. GF-9149_19714
Lineage: Eukaryota; Metazoa; Annelida; Polychaeta; Spionida; Poecilochaetidae
Description: partial large subunit ribosomal RNA
Rfam family: Bacterial large subunit ribosomal RNA
Source: RNAcentral